This is a long non-coding RNA of Oxyura jamaicensis (ruddy duck), 2518 nucleotides long. RefSeq lists it as uncharacterized. Lineage: Eukaryota; Metazoa; Chordata; Aves; Anseriformes; Anatidae. The transcript is spliced from 2 exons. The record is from RefSeq and is a predicted model, not a curated record.
UGGUGAGAGGGCUGAAAUCCCAAAGCCUUGUGGCUGCUUUCUGCUGCCUUUUGUCUCCCUAUUUCUCCUCCUGUUUCUCCUGGUACCAGUUGCUUCUGAGGCACUGUUGACCACUUACUAACUACUCUUUUGGUUUGACAAAGGUGGAUGUGUUUUUAUCCUACAGAAACGAUUUAAUAGGCACAGGAAUUGAGCAUGUGAACAAAUGACUGGGGAGAAGUUACAUGAAUGUGAUAAAAAUGCACCUAUUUGACUGAGAACUGGGGCUUGUAAGGGAACUAAGACUACUUUGCGAGCUGUGUCAUACAAAAGGACUGGUGUAGGGUGAAAUAAACACUCUUAAAAACAAUGACAGUGACCUCACUCAACUGCAUAAAUGUCUGAAGCCUUAAGGGCUGGAUCUGCACUUGUUCCGAGAUGUUGUCCCAAACUGUAGGAACAUCUGGUAUCUUAUUUUUGUAUUAGUCUGCACCUCCAUUUCCUGGGGGAGCUCCCAUAGUACGUGAGGCCAAUGUAGCAUUACUUUAAGCAGCCGUGUCCUUUCUGCACAGACACACAAUCCAGCCCCGACUGGUCUACUGUUGUCUUCUUUUCAAAGGGUGAUCACACUGAAUAGGAGCCUCUUGAAGUAGCAAUAAUUAUUUUUGAUGCAAAAUGUUAAUGAGGUGGUGUUCUCCUUAGAGAAAAGUUACAAUUUCAUCUUCAGCCACAGUACCAGUAGGAGUGACUGUCAGCUGUUAAGUUACCAGUCUGCAGGCUCCCUGGGACAGAGGUGAGUCCCUCUUUUUUAUUUGGGUUGUUGGGGGACUGAGGUAGUUUCCUUGCUUAGAAAAAUGUCGAGGUGGCGUAAUUCCACUGCCUGCAGAAAUGGAGAGGCCAAGGAGCUUGGGCUGGUUUUGCCCAGGGUGGUUGCAGAUUGCAAGGCUAAGUACUUUGAAGGCACCUAUGUCCCACUUCCCAGCUCCUCAUCCUCCCCACUUGGACUUGGAACCCUCACCUGUACCACCUGUCUGCUGCAGGAGUGCAGGGAGUCUGGCAGCUGAGGCACACAGGAGCCUUUGGAGGUUUUUGAGAACCUGGGCUGGAUUGACAGCAUCCCUGGGCAGGCUAGGCUGUUUUUUUUUCUAUUGCCUACAGAUGAAAGAUUUCUUUUUUUUCCCUAACACCUUGUCGAAAUGUACUCCCUGCCCUGCUCCUGACAUGGCAAAGAAGCAAAUCCAGCCAGCAAAGCUCUGGUUUCUCCUGAGGAUUGGACUCCUCGACCGCUUGCAGCACAGCAGGUACAAAACUCACCACGUGAGGAAGGCAGUUUUGUAAACAUGCGAGCAUUACCACAGUACAAGCAUCACGCUGAGUGACAAGGUACGCUGGAAAAGGCUGAGGUUUAUGCCAUUUUACGCUGUUUGGGGGGGGUUUAGGGCAAGUCAGGUCAAUGGCCUGUCCCAGUGCACCCUGGCUCUACAACCCAGUUUCACUCCGACGUUGCAACAUCAGGCACUGGCGUUUGCCAGCUGCUGGCAAGCAGACAGCACACACAGGUGAACAGGAGCCCACUCUGCACUGACACACAAGAUCACCCUGUACAGGAUCAUCUGGACUCGUGUACUCUGCACAGCUAUGGGUUUUAAUACUUAAGCAUCCAGUUAAAAAAAUAAUAAUUGCAAAACACAUUCAAUUUGAGAAGCAGAUGUAGCUGGUGCACUAGAUAGCCCUUCCUCUACCCUCCCAUUUUUCUGCCUGACACGGUUGGUAACUGUUUGAUAUACCACAUCCAACCCUAAUGCUUUGUGCUCCACAGCUUCCAAGAAUGGUAGGGCAGGCAUGCUUCCAUUCCUGGCCAUGCCCACAAGGUGUUAUAGCAGCUAGCAGGAGAGGCAUAAACCAGGGCCCUUCAGGGUUGUCUUAACUUAUUUAUGCCUGGGUUUGAAGUGGCCUCCUAGCAAAGCCCUUGGCACAAGCGGGUCCUGCCAACAGUCUCUGCCUUCCUUCAGCUAACUCAAAUUGUCAUUCUGGAGCCUCUAAGCAACUAAAAACAAGUUUUGCUCCAGUUGCUUCUUCCAUGAUUUUGAAAGCUUUAUGAUGUUGCAUGUCAUUUACCUCUCUUUCCCAAAGGAGAGCCUCCAAAGAAUCCUUCUUCCCAGCAGAGAAGUAUAAAAUCAGUAACUUUCUACUUUGUUUCAGCUUUUCCUAUGCUUGCAGUACAGGCUGUGCCUGACUCAAGCCUGUGGCCACAUGUGUUUCGUACUCUUUCCACCUAAUGCAGCGUGGUAUCCUGUUUGCCAUCCUUCCUGCUGCUAUAUGCCAUUAGCCCGAUAGUAUCAGUUUUUCCACUCAAACUCCCACAUCCUUUUCCUGAUCAACACACUGCACAAUUGUUCCAUUGACCGCACUGUGAUGAGAAAAACUUGCUGUGCCUGAGCAUUGUCCCACAAAGAAAGGGGUGGGUUUCCUUCUUCAAGCCUAUGCUAGAGCUGUCUGUGAAUGCACUACCACAGCAUCCAUAGUCUCAAAGAAUAUU